Molecule: ribosomal RNA, 485 nt
Filed under: uncultured bacterium
Lineage: Bacteria
Description: partial 16S ribosomal RNA
Rfam family: Bacterial small subunit ribosomal RNA
Source: RNAcentral
AGUGAACGCUGGCGGCGUGCUUAACACAUGCAAGUCGAACGAGAACGGAAUAUAGCUUGCUAUAUUUGUCAGCUAAGUGGCGCACGGGUGAGUAAUGUAUAGAUAACCUGCCCUUAAGAAAGGAAUAACAGUUGGAAACGACUGCUAAUGCCCUAUAUGCCUUUAGUACAUAAGUAUGCAAGGGAAACGCUUUAGUGCUUAAGGAUGGGUCUGUAUGGUAUCAGCUUGUUGGUGAGGUAAUGGCUCACCAAGGCUAUGACGCCUAACUGGUUUGAGAGGAUGAUCAGUCACACUGGAACUGAGACACGGUCCAGACUCCUACGGGAGGCAGCAGUGGGGAAUAUUGCACAAUGGACGAAAGUCUGAUGCAGCAACGCCGCGUGGAGGAUGACACAUUUCGGUGCGUAAACUCCUUUUAUAUAGGAAGAUAAUGACGGUACUAUAUGGAUAAGCACCGGCUAACUCCGUGCCAGCAGCCGCAGUAA